Molecule: long non-coding RNA, 871 nt
Filed under: Homo sapiens (human)
Lineage: Eukaryota; Metazoa; Chordata; Mammalia; Primates; Hominidae
Description: novel transcript
Source: RNAcentral
UACUUAGACAGACUAUGAAGAGAUACAUAGGGUGAGAAACGGAGGCCUUCAGCCAACAGCUGGGAGAAGCUGAGUCCCAUCAGCCAUUCAAAAGACUGCAGCCCCAGCCAAGAGUUUGAUGUAACCUCAGGAGAGACCCUGAGCCAGAACCACCUAGGCCAACGAGCUAUACCUAGUGAUUCCAAAGUCCACAUAUAUUUACUCUGUUCUCACUGUACAAAGUAACCACUCUGAAGUCAAAAAAGCUGGGAUACAUGAAGACUGCCAUCCCUUGAGUCACUUGCCCUGUAGCUGCCACUGUUGGAAAAGGGCUUGCUUCUGUGUCCUUGUGCCCACUUUGAAAAUCCCUGGGAAGUCCUUGGAGUCAGAUGAGCAGGCCUCCGCCACUCUGCCAAAAAGUCUGUUCAGAAGUUUCACAUCACUAGAGAAGAGAGAAGAAGGACAUUUGUACUGGGAGGAGUCGACCGGUCCCAGUAAGGAGAAAGUAGCUACAGCGUCAUGGGUGAGCUGGGUCCCCCAAAAAGGAACUUUAAGGGAAUGGACUGAAUCAAGUCUGAGAUGUCCCCAAAGCAAGACCAAAGAACUGAGGAAGAGAAGCAUUCAUCAGAAACCAAAAUUCAGCUACAAGUGAGCAUCCAGAUGGAGGUAUUAUGAAGAGGAACUGAGACUGAGGGCAAAAGGUGCCAGCCAGAAUCCUGGAUAGGAGAGCAAGAACCAGGACCUCAUUUAAGAGACAACCUGCUUAAGGCAGAGUAAGCACAAAUGGGCACUCAACAUCAAUGAAGUAACAGCAAAGUCACAUAAUAAAAGCAUGGAAUUAAGACAAGCUGAAGAUUCGGAUGCAAUAAAACAACCACCCAUUAUUAUCUCA